GCCGGGCAGAGUGGCACAUGCCUGUUGUCUCAGCUACUUGGGAGGCUGAGGUAAAAGCACUGCUUGAGCCCAGGAGUUCUGGGCUGUGGCACACUAUGUCGAUCGGAUGUCGGCAGUAAGUUUGGUAUCAAUAUGGUGACCUCCCAGGAGCAGGGGACCACCAGGUUGCCUAAGGAGGGGUGAACCAGCCCAGGUUGGAAACGAAGGUCAAAACUCUCAUGCUGAUCAGUGAAUGUCAUGUUUUCAAGUGGGGACAAUAAGCUCAUGAAUGUCAGUGAACAAUUUAAGUCUAUAAUUCUU
Molecule: signal recognition particle RNA, 300 nt
Filed under: Suricata suricatta (meerkat)
Lineage: Eukaryota; Metazoa; Chordata; Mammalia; Carnivora; Herpestidae
Description: Metazoan signal recognition particle RNA (ENSSSUG00005015631.1)
Rfam family: Metazoan signal recognition particle RNA
About the family: The signal recognition particle (SRP) is a universally conserved ribonucleoprotein.
Source: Rfam by way of RNAcentral